This 206-nucleotide ribosomal RNA is filed under the name uncultured bacterium. RNAcentral describes it as "partial 16S ribosomal RNA". It matches the Rfam family "Bacterial small subunit ribosomal RNA", at positions 568 to 773 of the family's 1533-position model. The record is from RNAcentral.
CACGUAGGCGGAUACUUAAGUUAGGGGUGAAAUCCCAGAGCUCAACUCUGGAACUGCCUCUAAUACUGGGUAUCUCGAGUUCGAGAGAGGUGAGUGGAAUUCCGAGUGUAGAGGUGAAAUUCGUAGAUAUUCGGAGGAACACCAGUGGCGAAGGCGGCUCACUGGCUCGAUACUGACGCUGAGGUGCGAAAGCGUGGGGAGCAACA